This 555-nucleotide ribosomal RNA is filed under the name Lucilia cuprina (Australian sheep blowfly). RNAcentral describes it as "partial 16S ribosomal RNA". It matches the Rfam family "Bacterial large subunit ribosomal RNA", at positions 1796 to 2620 of the family's 2925-position model. The record is from RNAcentral. Lineage: Eukaryota; Metazoa; Arthropoda; Insecta; Diptera; Calliphoridae.
UCGCCUGUUUAACAAAAACAUGUCUUUUUGAAUUUUUUUUAAAGUCUAGCCUGCCCACUGAAUUUUUUUAAAUGGCCGCAGUAUACUGACUGUGCAAAGGUAGCAUAAUCAUUAGUCUUUUAAUUGAAGGCUGGUAUGAAUGGUUGGACGAGAUAUUAACUGUUUCAUAAAAAUUUAUAGUAGAAUUUUAUUUUUUAGUCAAAAAGCUAAAAUUUAUUUAAAAGACGAGAAGACCCUAUAAAUCUUUAUAUUUAGGUUAUUAUAAUUGUAUAGAUUUUUUUUGUUAUAAUAAUUAAUAAUAUUUUAUUGGGGUGAUAUUAAAAUUUAAUGAACUUUUAAUUAUUAAAAACAUUAAUUUAUGAAUAAUUGAUCCAUUAUUAGUGAUUAAAAAAAUAAGUUACUUUAGGGAUAACAGCGUAAUUUUUUUGGAGAGUUCAUAUCGAUAAAAAAGAUUGCGACCUCGAUGUUGGAUUAAGAUAUAAUUUUAGGUGUAGUAGCUUAAAUUUUAAGUCUGUUCGACUUUUAAAUUCUUACGUGAUCUGAGUUCAGACCGGA